UGCCCGAGGAGCAGCGCUCGGUGCUGCUCCUCGUCGCGGUCGAGGAUCUGUCUUAUGCCGAGGCGGCCCAGGUGCUCGGGGUACCGCUCGGCAC
This 94-nucleotide transfer RNA is filed under the name Methylobacterium bullatum. RNAcentral's name for it is "tRNA-Arg". The record is from RNAcentral. RNAcentral also lists the same sequence under 2 other names. Lineage: Bacteria; Pseudomonadati; Pseudomonadota; Alphaproteobacteria; Hyphomicrobiales; Methylobacteriaceae.